This 916-nucleotide ribosomal RNA is filed under the name uncultured Mycoplasmatota bacterium. RNAcentral describes it as "bacterial SSU rRNA". It matches the Rfam family "Bacterial small subunit ribosomal RNA", at positions 8 to 880 of the family's 1533-position model. Lineage: Bacteria; Bacillati; Mycoplasmatota. The record is from RNAcentral.
AGAGUUUGAUCAUGGCUCAGGAUGAACGCUGGCGGCAUGCCUAAGACAUGCAAGUCGAACGAGAGGGCCCAUUGAGAUUUAUCGAAGAGUUGAGUGCUUGCACAAGACUUGGACUUAUUUUGAUUUGGAAUUUCCCUCGAGUGGCAAACGGGUGAGUAACACGUGGGUUACCUGCCUCUAAGUUGGGGAUACCAAUUGGAAACGAUUGUUAAUACCGAAUGUGCUCUACGGAGUAAAGUUCCCCUUAAAGGAACGCUUGGAGAUGGGCCUGCGGCGUAUUAGCUAGUUGGUGGGAUAACGGCCUACCAAGGCAACGAUGCGUAGCCGAACUGAGAGGUUAAUCGGCCACACUGGGACUGAGACACGGCCCAGACUCCUACGGGAGACAGCAGUUAAGAAUAUUCGUCAAUGGGGGAAACCCUGAACGAGCAAUGCCGCGUGAACGAUGAAGGCCCUAUGGGUUGUAAAGUUCUGUUGUUUGGAAAGAACUGUAAGAAUAGGAAAUGAUUCUUACUUGACGGUACCAUUCAAGAAAGCCACGGCUAACUACGUGCCAGCAGCCGCGGUAAUACGUAGGUGGCGAGCGUUAUCCGGAUUUAUUGGGCGUAAAGGGUGUGUAGGCGGUUUGUUAAGUAUAAAAUUAAAGCCCGAAGCUUAACUUCGGUUCGUUUUAUAAACUGGCAGACUAGAGUAAAGUAGAGGCAAAUGGAAUUCCUAGUGUAGUGGUAAAAUGCGUAGAUAUUAGGAGGAACACCAGUGGCGAAGGCGAUUUGCUGGGCUGUUACUGACGCUGAGGCACGAAAGCGUGGGGAGCAAAUAGGAUUAGAUACCCUAGUAGUCCACGCCGUAAACGAUGAGUACUAAGUGUCGGGUUACCGGUGCUGAAGUUAACACAUUAAGUACUCCGCCUGAGUAG